This 433-nucleotide ribosomal RNA is filed under the name uncultured bacterium. Its description in RNAcentral is "partial 16S ribosomal RNA". It matches the Rfam family "Bacterial small subunit ribosomal RNA", at positions 29 to 507 of the family's 1533-position model. The record is from RNAcentral.
AACGAACGCUGGCGGCAUGCCUAACACAUGCAAGUCGAACGAGACCUUCGGGUCUAGUGCCGCACGGGUGCGUAACGCGUGGGAACCUGCCCUUAGGUUCGGAAUAACCCCCCGAAAGGGGUGCUAAUACCGGAUAAUGUCUUCGGACCAAAGAUUUAUCGCCUUUGGAUGGGCCCGCGUUGGAUUAGCUAGUUGGUAGGGUAAAAGCCUACCAAGGCGACGAUCCAUAGCUGGUCUGAGAGGAUGAUCAGCCACACUGGGACUGAGACACGGCCCAGACUCCUACGGGAGGCAGCAGUGGGGAAUAUUGGACAAUGGGCGAAAGCCUGAUCCAGCAAUGCCGCGUGAGUGAUGAAGGCCUUAGGGUUGUAAAGCUCUUUUACCCGGGAUGAUAAUGACAGUACCGGGAGAAUAAGCUCCGGCUAACUCCGUG